This 251-nucleotide ribosomal RNA is filed under the name uncultured bacterium. Its description in RNAcentral is "partial 16S ribosomal RNA". It matches the Rfam family "Bacterial small subunit ribosomal RNA", at positions 524 to 776 of the family's 1533-position model. The record is from RNAcentral.
GACGGGGGGGGCAAGUGUUCUUCGGAAUGACUGGGCGUAAAGGGCACGUAGGCGGUGAAUCGGGUUGAAAGUGAAAGUCGCCAAAAACUGGCGGAAUGCUCUCGAAACCAAUUCACUUGAGUGAGACAGAGGAGAGUGGAAUUUCGUGUGUAGGGGUGAAAUCCGUAGAUCUACGAAGGAACGCCAAAAGCGAAGGCAGCUCUCUGGGUCCCUACUGACGCUGAGGCUCGAAAGCGUGGGGAGCAAACAGG